This 216-nucleotide ribosomal RNA is filed under the name uncultured bacterium. RNAcentral describes it as "partial 16S ribosomal RNA". It matches the Rfam family "Bacterial small subunit ribosomal RNA", at positions 1285 to 1500 of the family's 1533-position model. The record is from RNAcentral.
GCCCCAGUUCGGAUUGCAGGCUGCAACCCGCCUGCAUGAAGCCGGAAUCGCUAGUAAUCGCGGAUCAGAAUGCCGCGGUGAAUACGUUCCCGGGUCUUGUACACACCGCCCGUCACACCAUGGGAGUCGGGAAUGCCCGAAGUCAGUGGCCCAACCGGAAGGGGGGAGCUGCCGAAGGCAGGCCCGGUGACUGGGGUGAAGUCGUAACAAGGUAGC